GCUGGACAGACUGCUGCCACACUGGCUGGCUAGGUCGCUCUGUGUAGCACAUGCAUUUCUGGUGCCCUCAGAGGUCUUUGUGCUAUAGGAUGGAAAGUGGUCCUUCUCUUCAAGGGUUAAAUUAAAUACAGAGACAAAACAAACAGAUAAACUACGAAAAACCAGGAGUAACAAUGAAGACUAGUAUGAUGACAUAGAAAUUACAGAUAUGGGCCAGCAUAGCAUGCUCAUGGUUGUGCUGGCCAGGACAGCAGAUGGACACCGCGAAUGCAGUGCCCCCUCCUCCUCUCCAGGCAAGCUUUUCUAAAGGUGACGUCAUUGUGAGCGCCACAUAUGAGAACCACCUUGGAUACUGUGACCAGAACUAAGCAUAGCACUCCUGUGGAACUCAAUGGAUAUAUCCAAGGAAAACAAGAGCCAUGAACUUUCCAGUCCUCAAAACUAAACAAAAUUGCAGGAGAGCACCAAGAGGAAUAAGAAGGUUCACUUCAAAGAUGGCUCUGGUCACUACUGGCCAGUUUCACAUUAUCACCCAAGCAUUAACUGUGUCUUUUGAUUCCUGUCCUUGGAUAAAGUCAAGAUGUGACAAAC
This 591-nucleotide long non-coding RNA is filed under the name Cricetulus griseus (Chinese hamster). RNAcentral describes it as "lncRNA (ENSCGRG00015009168.2)". The record is from RNAcentral. Lineage: Eukaryota; Metazoa; Chordata; Mammalia; Rodentia; Cricetidae.